RNAcentral lists this long non-coding RNA (247 nucleotides) under Volvox carteri. RNAcentral's name for it is "long non-coding RNA (VCAR_LNC001970)". Lineage: Eukaryota; Viridiplantae; Chlorophyta; Chlorophyceae; Chlamydomonadales; Volvocaceae. The record is from RNAcentral.
GAUGGGGUUGACGUUCUGGCCGAUGCGGCGGAAGUUCUGGUUCACGCCAACGCGGCCAGCGUUGACCUUCUCCGGGUACACACCGUCAGCAGGGUGCAGGUACUGCACCUUGCCAUCAGGGAAGACGCGGUAGAACGCCGGGGUCAGCUUGAACUUGGUGCGCAGCUGGGUCGUCAGAGCAAGGCACUGCUCUUUCUUGGCGAACUUGAGCAGGUUGGGGCCCUGGCGCAUGAUAGCAGCACCGCCA